AUGCACAGAUCUAGGGACUGAAGUCCUUCAUCUGCAAACACAGCAUAGGCAGUGGUGGCACAAGCUUACCCAGACUGCUCUGCCAAUGUGCCUCAACCCUGACAUUAAGGGACAACAACCAGGAGUGAGAGGAUAGAUUUAGUCACUGUGCCCAUUCAUUCCUCAGCUUCU
RNAcentral lists this small RNA (171 nucleotides) under Chrysemys picta bellii (western painted turtle). RNAcentral's name for it is "TUC338 (ENSCPBG00000005844.1)". Lineage: Eukaryota; Metazoa; Chordata; Testudines; Emydidae. The record is from RNAcentral.